Molecule: long non-coding RNA, 3346 nt
Organism: Cydia pomonella (codling moth)
Lineage: Eukaryota; Metazoa; Arthropoda; Insecta; Lepidoptera; Tortricidae
Exons: 2
Source: RefSeq, a predicted model, not a curated record
UUUAAUCAGGUGCCGAAAGAUGGCAUUAAAUUUACUGUGGCUACAAAAUUUUCUUUGACAAUCCACUUCUAUUUCAAAUUCUCUUUGGCCAAAGUAAGCUUGGCCGACUAUACAACAUAAUGAAAAUAGUUGACUACGUAAACGACAAAACAGUAAAGUGAUACUGAUAAGUACUUACCGGAAGUCAGCAAAUGUUAGUAAUGUUAUAUGAAUACUGCUAAUAUAAAGUAAAUAAUAGGCUCAGCUUUGUAUUGGACUUUGGCCUGGGUUUCCCGUUUACUAAUGGUCAAUGGCGUACAAGUAUUGUAGUUAGUUUUUAAGGUUCCGUAACAUAAUGGGAAAAAAAUUACACUUAUAGUUUCGUCAUGUCCGUCUGUUCAUGCGUAUGGUAAUAAAACUAUAAGGUAAAUUUCGCUACUACGUUUAGAAGUAUUUUAUUCAAAAGGGGGGCACUUCAUAUACAUGCAACUAAAAAUAAAACAUUAUAUAUCAACGUGUGAAACAUCAUUAAUAGAUUUUUCACAAAAAAAUACUGCUCUGCUGCUUUUGUGAGAGUCAGAAUGGCGGGUGUACCUGAAUAAAAAUAAUUGAAAAGCAUAUUUUUGUACCUAAUUUGUACUAUUUAAUUUGUACCUCCAUUAAAAAAAAUUGUACCUCACGGUACAUAAAGUUAUCAUCAAAAAACAGUACACCCGCCAUCCUGACAGUCAGAAUGGCGGGUGUACUUUAUUACGCUAUGUUCCCGUGGUAAUUGAUAAAUUCUAUAUAAGCCAAAUUUUUGUACCUUUUUUGUACCUUCUUAUUCAAUUAUAAUAUGAGUCAUUUUAUUUGUGGUUUCCAAGUUUUAUUCAUUUUAUAUUUUGCUUGCUAUUACAAUUUUGCAGGCGUUAUAAUUUUUCAAGUUAUCGAUUUAAUUUUUAAGAAAAAACGCUAAGGUACAAUUAUUUUUAUUACGUCAGGAUUUAGUACCUUUAAUGUUUAAUAUGUUACGUUCAAAUAACUUAGUAAAUCAUGUCUGCCAUUCUGACUCUCACCUGCUUUCAGGACGGAAGUGCCGGAAAGAUACGCUGUUUUGCUGGUAUGGGGCUUUUUAUGUCGUAUUAAAAUACGGUCCCCCUUAAUACGACCGGUCUGGCCUAGUCGAUCGGUAGUGACACUAGUGAUCCUGCCUAUGAAGCCGAUGGUCCUGGGUUCGAAUCCCGGUAAGGGCAUUUAUUUGUGUGAUGAACACAUAUAUUUGUUACUGAGUCUGGGUGUUAUCUAUGUAUAAAAGUAUUUAUAUGUCGAUGUCCAAGUACAGUCCUGACAGUCAGAAUGGCGGGUGUACUUUAUUACGCUAUGUUCCCGUGGUUAUUGAUAAAUUCUAUAUAAGCCAAAUUUUUGUACCUUUUUUGUACCUUCAUAUUCCAAGGUUUCCAAGUUUUAUUCAUUUUAUAUUUUGCUUGCUAUUACAAUUUUGCAGGCGUUAUAAUUUUUCAAGUUAUCGAUUUAAUUUUUAAGAAAAAACGCUAAGGUACAAUUAUUUUUAUUACGUCAGGAUUUAGUACCUUUAAUGUUUAAUAUGUUACGUUCAAAUAACUUAGUAAAUCAUGUCUGCCAUUCUGACUCUCACCUGCUUUCAGGACGGAAGUGCCGGAAAGAUACGCUGUUUUGCUGGUAUGGGGCUUUUUAUGUCGUAUUAAAAUACGGUCCCCCUUAAUACGACCGGUCUGGCCUAGUCGAUCGGUAGUGACACUAGUGAUCCUGCCUAUGAAGCCGAUGGUCCUGGGUUCGAAUCCCGGUAAGGGCAUUUAUUUGUGUGAUGAACACAUAUAUUUGUUACUGAGUCUGGGUGUUAUCUAUGUAUAAAAGUAUUUAUAUGUCGAUGUCCAAGUACCUACAACACAAGCCUUAUUGAGCUUACUGUGGGACUUCAAAAAGUCAAUUAGUGUAAUAAUGUCCUAAACCAUUUAUUUAUCUAUAAAUUUACUUAAUUUCUUGUUAUUAGGUACUUGCGAUUUGUUUAUUCCGAUUCGUUAUUGCAAAUCGCUAUUUUCAUGUGUAUAAGAGUAUGAAUAAUUCAUAGCCAGGGGGACAGGUGCUCAAGCAUUUACAUAUGUAUGUAUGAAAGGUGUUUGGAAGCUGAAUGCAAAAAAUUGUAUUGUGUAGAACAUGGACAUGUAAAAUUAUUUAGGUUUUUCAAAAAGAUGAAUAUGUUUAAUAUGACCAUAUUUUUUGUAUUCAUAAUACUCGGAGACUUUCAAUAUUUUGUUAGUUAUAUAAGUCCAACAAUAAGUACGUAUGUUUCAUACCGGUAUGAAGAUGACUAUUUUAAGAUCUUUUUUUUGAGGUAAAAUCGGUUAAAUAGUCAAUGAAAAUGGACCGUUCUAAAUGUCAUAUAUAAUUAUUUUGUUAUACAAUUAUAUUUUAUAUUUAUUUAUCUAGAGUUUUUUUUUUCAAUAUAUUAUGCACUCGUUUUAUAUCUAUUAAUAUAUGUGCUUGUGAGUUAAUAUUUAUUCUCUAUUUUUAUCUCCUUGCACUACCUGUUGACCUUUUAUAUGAGUUCAUUUCCCGCUGCCCAAAGAUUGUCUGGAAGAGAUCGCUUUUUGGCGAUAAGACCGCCUGUUGUUACCUAGUUAUCAUUUUCUUCUUAAUUUUUUUGUAAUUUUGCAUACAUGGCCGUUCUGGCCUAGUGAGUAAUGACCCUGCCUAUAAAGCUGAUGGUUCUGGGUUCAAAUCCCGAUAAGGGCAUUUUUUGUGUGAUAAGCACGGGUAAUUGUUCCUGAACCUUGGGCGUUUUCUAUGUUUUUAAGUAUUUAUCGAUGUCUGAGUCCCCACAACACAAGCCUUCAGAAGGUUACUGUGGGGCUUAGUGAAUUGUGUAAUAAUGUUAAUGUACUACAAUAUUUAUUUAUGUAAAAUGUAUUAUUAUUGGAGCAAUAAAGAAUAUUUACUUACUUACUUAACAUAAUCUGUAGCAUUUUCUGUACCUAGUUUUUACUGUUUUCGUCAUACUUUCAUUUUUUUUAAUAAGUUGCAACUAGAAAUUCCAAUAUCGGAAUUCCGAUAUUUCUCUUCAAUUCCGGUUCCUAUCCAAAUAUCGUAAAAAACGGACGAAUAUUCAUGUCCUGAUAUGGCGAAAACACAUGAAUAUCACAUGUGACAGUCUCUAAACACUCUUAUAUGGCCAGCUUUACGAUGUAUCGGCACCUGUCGGUCUGUAUGUUAUCUACGCGCUCAGAAUCUUGAUAAGUUGCAACUCUUAACGUGAGUUCUUUGAAUUGUCGAGAUUAAAGCCCGACCAUUAAUAUAUGAUCAUUGUCAAAAGGGCGCUGUUAUUCUCAUGUAUAGGGGACAGAUCAGUUUA